This 253-nucleotide ribosomal RNA is filed under the name uncultured bacterium. RNAcentral describes it as "partial 16S ribosomal RNA". It matches the Rfam family "Bacterial small subunit ribosomal RNA", at positions 524 to 776 of the family's 1533-position model. The record is from RNAcentral.
UACGUAGGGUGCAAGCGUUAAUCGGAAUUACUGGGCGUAAAGCGUGCGCAGGCGGUUGUGCAAGACCGAUGGGAAAUCCCCGGGCUUAACCUGGGAAUGGCAUUGGUGACUGCACGGCUAGAGUGUGUCAGAGGGGGGUAGAAUUCCACGUGUAGCAGUGAAAUGCGUAGAGAUGUGGAGGAAUACCGGUGGCGAAGGCAGCCCCCUGGGAUAACACUGACGCUCAUGCACGAAAGCGUGGGGAGCAAACAGG